GCCUGGGUGGCUCAGUUGGUUAAGCAUCCGACUUUGGCUCAGGUCAUGAUCUCACGGUUCAUGGGUUCGAGCCCCAUGUCAGGCU
Molecule: transfer RNA, 85 nt
Filed under: Felis catus (domestic cat)
Lineage: Eukaryota; Metazoa; Chordata; Mammalia; Carnivora; Felidae
Also listed under: 4 other names
Rfam family: tRNA
About the family: Transfer RNA (tRNA) molecules are approximately 80 nucleotides in length. Their secondary structure includes four short double-helical elements and three loops (D, anti-codon, and T loops). Further hydrogen bonds mediate the characteristic L-shaped molecular structure. tRNAs have two regions of fundamental functional importance: the anti-codon, which is responsible for specific mRNA codon recognition, and the 3' end, to which the tRNAs corresponding amino acid is attached (by aminoacyl-tRNA synthetases). tRNAs cope with the degeneracy of the genetic code in two manners: having more than one tRNA (with a specific anti-codon) for a particular amino acid; and 'wobble' base-pairing, i.e. permitting non-standard base-pairing at the 3rd anti-codon position.
Source: Rfam by way of RNAcentral